CUAGUAAUCGUGGAUCAGCAUGCCACGGUGAAUACGUUCCCGGGUCUUGUACACACCGCCCGUCACACCAUGGGAGCCGGUAAUACCCGAAGUCAGUAGUCUAACCGCAAGGAGGACGCUGCCGAAGGUAGGAUUGGCGACUGGGGUGAAGUCGUAACAAGGUAUC
RNAcentral lists this ribosomal RNA (166 nucleotides) under uncultured bacterium. RNAcentral's name for it is "partial 16S ribosomal RNA". It matches the Rfam family "Bacterial small subunit ribosomal RNA", at positions 1335 to 1500 of the family's 1533-position model. The record is from RNAcentral.